Lolium perenne is the source of this 1896-nucleotide non-coding RNA. The record is from RefSeq and is a predicted model, not a curated record. Lineage: Eukaryota; Viridiplantae; Streptophyta; Magnoliopsida; Poales; Poaceae.
UUUUUCUUUCUCUUCUUCCUUCCGAUCCUAGGUCUCCGUGACUCUGCCCUCUCCCCGACCCCCUCCGCCGCCGAGCGUGGAGAGCGCCGCCUCUGCCCCGGCGGAAGCAUCCCCUCGCCCCCCCCCCUCGCCGGAGGAAGCAGCUCAUCGCCCCCCUCGCCCGCGGAAGCUCGCCGGUUCCGCACUGACGGCCGCUCGAUGUUCCCCUUCCGGCAGCAGCGCGCCGUCCAAUCCGACGGGCGACUCCAACCGCGUCAAUGAGGAGCGCGUUGCCAGACUCCCCGACGCGACGCCGGCUGCGGCGUGGGAUCUCCCAUGCGCGCCAUCGCCGCCCACUCUGUCUCCGACGACCCGGCACACAUCGAGGUCAUCAACAACAUUGAGCACGGCGACGCACUGCCGGGCCUGCGCCGCCACGAUGAGAUCGCUUCCAUCGCCGAGGUGGACUUCGACGUAGCCAAGGAGCUCUCGAUUUUUCAGUAGGUGGCGGCCGCUCAAGAUGGGGUGCGUCAAGGUAAUGUCGCAACACUCUCGGUACCUAUCAAUGCUACAGAGUAUCUAGGCUACCAUAUAAAUUACUGAAGGAUUUGGCAGUAGAUGAGGCACUUUGCGUAGACACACUAUGCUUCUGCUGCUUGUAGCUUGCCAUUGCCACGACGCCGCUUCAGCCUGCUGAGAGGCAUAGUAUUGCUGCUAACGCUAAGAGACAUGAGAGAGAGAGAGACUCAGAGGAUUGAGGGGGGUUGAGAGAUGGAGUGCUGCUAUCUGAUGUCCUGCUUGAUUUCUGGACAGCGGUCUGGUGUUUAGACUUUAGAGGACAUUGAUUUUUCUGCAAUAUAUUUUACCAUUGCUAGGUGUAAGGUAUAUUACCUAAAAGCUGUAAGCCUCUUGAAAGUCCUAUUCUACUCGGGCAGAGUCGACAUCGCAAGCUGAGCGGGUGCUCACCUCACAGGACUUUCAACAGGCUUACAACUUCCCUAUCCUGGAAUCGCCUAUCUCUCUGAGCAGUCGUGGCGUGGCCACCGCUUCCGCCGCUCCUCCCUCCAUUAUCCCCCACCUCCUCUUCUUGCUGAAGGCAUCCCUCCACAAUCUGCAACUACGGUGGAGUUUCUACAGCGGCUCCGCCGGUGGAGGUGCGACACGAGAUCGAGCGUGGAAAGGAUCGCCUGCCAAUCAAUGUAUUGUUGAAUACAUGAGGAUCAAGUCACAGAUUCAUUGUGUGUUUUCAGAUUUUGCAUGGUUUCAUUCGUUGGCUACCUAUAUUUUUGUGUUUGGUUUGAAGGACAUUCUUCUGUUAUCACCAAUUGUAGCUCUAUAGUUCUAUAAAAAUGCUUUGGUUUGUUUUUUAAUUUAGGAAUAGGUGGACGUUGAAAAUCAACUUCGAGAAGUUGAGCUCAGAUAUUUGUUACAGAUGGGAUGCCAAACUCACUAGCUGAAAGCAAGGCUCACCAGGUUGGUCUGUAGUGAGCACGUAGAGGAGAUUACAACAUGAUCUUGGCCGAACGCCAAGGCAAUGUCAGUGCUGCAGCGGAUAGACGGAGCAGAUGACCUGGCCUGCACUGUCAGAAUGGGCCUUGAUGCUAGGGGCAGGAUGCAAGGUCAAGCGGAACACCAGGCGAAGGUGAAACCCAGCCGACCGGAGCGGCCAGGUGGUCCUUUAUCAGAUUCAGUUCUUGAUGAUUACUUGGCUGGGGAGAGACUAGGUGGUCCUUUAUCUCCGUUCAGUAGUCAAUUUUGGUUUUGAUUCAUUUGUCUGCCUUGCAUAUUUUUGGAAGGGAUGCCACCUGAUGUUGCAACAUGAAUUUGGUGUUUUGAUGAUCAUUAUUCUGUGAAGGGCAAGAAACAAGCAGUUUUUGUUUACCUGGAGCCGAUAAUGUAGGUCCUAGAUCACAUUGU